UUCGGUCGCCCCAUACUCGCGCUCCAAACUGAUAACGGAAAAGAGUUUGACAACGUCGCCUUUCGCACACUUCUUGCCUCUCACGGCACCACCUUCCGUCUGACUUGCCCCUACACUUCCCAGCAGAACGGCCGCGCCGAGCGCAUUCUCCGCACUCUUAAUGACUGCGUUCGCACGUUACUCUUUCACUCUAACGUGCCCACUCGGUUUUGGCCCGAUACCCUCGCUACCGCCACUCUCUUAGUUAACAUUCGUCCAUGUCGCCCUCGCUGGAACUACGCCCCUCACCACCUUCUCUUC
This 300-nucleotide ribosomal RNA is filed under the name Triticum aestivum (bread wheat). RNAcentral's name for it is "partial small subunit ribosomal RNA". The record is from RNAcentral. Lineage: Eukaryota; Viridiplantae; Streptophyta; Magnoliopsida; Poales; Poaceae.